CACCAGACUCCUACGGGAGGCAGCAGUGGGGAAUAUUGCACAAUGGGGGGAACCCUGAUGCAGCGACGCCGCGUGAGUGAAGAAGUAUUUCGGUAUGUAAAGCUCUAUCAGCAGGGAAGAAAAUGACAGUACCUGACCAAGAAGCCCCGGCUAACUACGUGCCAGCAGCCGCGGUAAUACGUAGGGGGCAAGCGUUAUCCGGAUUUACUGGGUGUAAAGGGAGCGUAGACGGUUAUGUAAGUCUGGAGUGAAAGCCCGGGGCCCAACCCCGGGACUGCUUUGGAAACUGUGCAGCUCGAGUGCAGGAGAGGUAAGCGGAAUUCCUAGUGUAGCGGUGAAAUGCGUAGAUAUUAGGAGGAACACCAGUGGCGAAGGCGGCUUACUGGACUGUAACUGACGUUGAGGCUCGAAAGCGUGGGGAGCAAACAGGAUUAGAUACCCGCGUA
Molecule: ribosomal RNA, 446 nt
Filed under: uncultured bacterium
Lineage: Bacteria
Description: bacterial SSU rRNA
Rfam family: Bacterial small subunit ribosomal RNA
Source: RNAcentral